Long non-coding RNA from Lolium rigidum, 610 nucleotides. RefSeq lists it as uncharacterized. The record is from RefSeq and is a predicted model, not a curated record. The transcript has 4 exons. NCBI's taxonomy places the organism in Eukaryota, Viridiplantae, Streptophyta, Magnoliopsida, Poales, Poaceae.
AUUGAAGCUCUGUGUCAAUGAUGUCUCGAUUCAAUCAUAGCUGCACAAAUUGGCCACAACUUUUUAGAUAAUGGAAGGUAGUAUGAUUGUUGGUUAUUUGUAGCUUUAGAUAAUUGAAGCAGAUCAGGUGACAUAUGUCAUUGAAUUUAUUGUGCAUGGCUGAACUUUGGUAUCUUUUCCAUAACAAUCAUGUGUUAUGUACUACCCGGUGAAUGUCAUUUUGAUACGUGGUUAAGGGCAUGUGUUCUUGAGGUUAAUUCUGGUAUUCAUCUUCGACCGCAAAGAUAGAGCAGCUUAAUUAUCGUGUACCUCAGAAAAGCAUCAUAGUGAAGUAUUUUAGCGAUCACAAAGAUCUUAAGAAUUCAUCUCUGCAGUGAGCUCUAUUGCAGGACUCUCCCCUCUGAGAUGAUAUUUCAGAGGAGUCUUAGCUUUCGAUCUCAUAAACUACUCACGGAUGUUCUGUCUGUGUUCUGUGCAUGCCCCGAGCUACGAAGCAUCAAUAUUUUUUUUUUAGGUUGUUAUGUACAUAUAAUCGUAGGUGUCCGCUGCGUAUGUAAUUAUGUGGAAUUUAUCUGAUGGUGUGUCCACUGUCCCUAAGGCAACACUUUAU